Molecule: ribosomal RNA, 301 nt
Filed under: uncultured bacterium
Lineage: Bacteria
Description: partial 16S ribosomal RNA
Rfam family: Bacterial small subunit ribosomal RNA
Source: RNAcentral
CAGUAGCCGCGGGAAUACGUAGGGUGCAAGCGUUAAUCGGAAUUACUGGGCGUAAAGCGUGCGCAGGCGGUUAUAUAAGACAGAUGUGAAAUCCCCGGGCUCAACCUGGAACUGCAUUUGUGACUGUAUAGCUAGAGUACGGCAGAGGGGGAUGGAAUUCCGCGUGUAGCAGUGAAAUGCGUAGAUAUGCGGAGGAACACCGAUGGCGAAGGCAAUCCCCUGGGCCUGUACUGACGCUCAUGCACGAAAGCGUGGGGAGCAAACAGGAUUAGAUACCCCAGUAGUCCCUGUCUCUUAUACA